RNAcentral lists this ribosomal RNA (819 nucleotides) under Triticum aestivum (bread wheat). RNAcentral's name for it is "partial small subunit ribosomal RNA". The record is from RNAcentral. Lineage: Eukaryota; Viridiplantae; Streptophyta; Magnoliopsida; Poales; Poaceae.
AUGGAUGAGGUCACAAGGGGUAUACAAGGAUAUAUCCCAUGGUGUAUGCUCUUUGCGGAUGAUGUGGUGCUAGUUGACGAUAGUCGGACGGGGGUAAAUAGGAAGUUAGAGUUAUGGAGACAAACCUUGGAAUCGAAAGGGUUUAGGCUUAGUAGAACUAAAACCGAGUACAUGAUGUGCGGUUUCAGUACUACUAGCUGUGAGGAGGAGGAGGUUAGCCUUGAUGGCCAGGUGGUACCUCGGAAGGACACCUUUCGGUAUUUGGGGUCAAUGUUGCAGGAGGAUGGGGGUAUUGAUGAAGAUGUGAACCAUCGAAUCAAAGCCGGAUGGAUGAAGUGGCGCCAAGCUUCUGGCAUUCUCUGUGACAAGAGAGUGCCACAAAAGCUAAAAGGCAAGUUCUACAGGACGGCGGUUCGACCCGCAAUGUUGUAUGGCGCGGAGUGUUGGCCGACUAAAAGGCGACAUGUUCAACAGUUAGGUGUGGCGGAGAUGCGUAUGUUGAGAUGGAUCUGUGGCCACACGAGGAAGGAUCGAGUCCGGAAUGAUGAUAUACGAGAUAGAGUUGGGGUAGCACCAAUUGAGGAGAAGCUUGUCCAACAUCGUUUGAGAUGGUUUGGACAUAUUCAGCGCAGGCCUCCAGAAGCUCCAGUGCAUAGCGGACGGCUAAAGCGUGCGGAGAAUGUCAAGAGAGGGCGGGGUCGACCGAUUUUGACAUGGGAGGAGUCCGUUAAGAGAGACCUGAAGGAUUGGAGUAUCGACAAAGAGCUAGCUAUGGACAGGGGUGCGUGGAAGCUUGCUAUCCAUGUGCCAGAGCCAUGA